Molecule: small nucleolar RNA, 96 nt
Organism: Camellia sinensis
Lineage: Eukaryota; Viridiplantae; Streptophyta; Magnoliopsida; Ericales; Theaceae
Product: small nucleolar RNA snoR117
Source: RefSeq, a predicted model, not a curated record
GGCCAAUGAUGCAUAGAUGUAUUGUCCGUACCAUCUGAGAGUCUUUUUUUCAAAGACUCCAUUGAUGAGUAAUCUAUCUUUACCUUUCUGAGGCUU